CUAGCGCCAUUCUUAGUGCCCGUAAGGCCCGUCCUUAGAUAUAUGUCAAUGUUGAAAUUAUAUAAGUAACUAUAACUUUUACAAUAAUAUUAAACUGCCAAUAGACGGGAUAGUUAAAUAGUGAUCUAGAUUAUCUGUUUUUAAAUAUGAUGUUUAUGUCCACGCAAAUAUCUGUUAAAUUUUCACUACAUACUACAUAUAUCAAGCUUAUGGUUUUGCGAUAACGCGUGGUUGAGACGCUUGUAAUAGUCUGAGAGCUAGCCCCGAAAAAAUGCAUAGGUACUGUGUCUAUAAGUAUGAUAUUAUAUAAGACUGCAUGGUUAGUAUUUGUAAGAUAUUUACAGUAAUUAAAAUUGUGAUACUAACAACACUAUGAUAUAUUGAACAGAAAAUAUGAUUGCCUCUCUAAAUGUAACUCGCUAAAUUACAGUUCCCUUCACAUAUUUCCCGUAAACUUUGGCUUAACAAAACUGUAUUUACUUAUUUUUUAUUGUACAAUAAUAUAAUAAUUAACUAAUCAUUUGAUUUAGAAAAAAUAACUGAUUAGCCGGGUCCACACAGCGAGCAUACGCGCGAGGCAAUUUCCUCACGCACAAUACGGCCGGUGUAGACGUGCCUCGGGCCGUAUUGUGCGUGAGGAAAUUGCCUCGCGCGUAUGCUCGUUCUGUGUGGACCCGGCUAUUUUCGUGACAGAAAGUUCUUAUGUACUUACUUACUUAUACAGGGUGAUUCAGGAUACGUGAGCAGGAUCAAGCUUGAGCAUUCAGUAAGUUAUAAGCAACUGUUUCAUACCAGUAUUUGUGAGAUUAACGUUGUUUUAUUUUUUACUGUUCAAAAAAAAUGUUUUAAUUUAUUUACGCCAUGUAUGGUCACCCUCUUUGUUUUAUCCAUAACAAGUGACAAAUUGAAUGUCAUCGUAGUCUGGUUACUUUUGAAAAAUCGUAUCUCACUCAAGUGUGACAUUUUGUUUUCUUCAUAACUGCUGUCAUAACGGUUAAAGAGGUUUUAUCUUUCUUAAUUAAGUGUUGUACCUCGUAUAUCCCGAAAACCGUGGUUCUAUCGAUUCCGUACGUCUCCGAAAUGGGUAAUAUCCACCAUCUGUCGUUUACGUUUGGGCAAAGUAUGUACUCCGUUAUUUCUGGCUAUGAUAGGUGUUCGUGCGAACUCAUUGUGUGAUUGUGGGCUUGAUGAGGGCAACUUGGACCACAUUUUCUUUGCAUGCUCAAAGUGUAGCUACUCACUGUACGAUGUAUUGCCCGAUAAUGUUCCACGACCUAUAUGCUUCAGCUCGCUACUUUGUUACAUGGAUCCUAUUCUAACUUCUAUCCUAAUUAAAUAUUUACAAGCAAAUAACAUUAAACUAUAAAUAAAGUAUUAUCUUUUCAGACCUAAUUAUAUAUCUUUAAUUUUAUACACACUCUACAUUAUACAUUUAUAUGGUUUUCUUCUCUCUCACUUCCUUCAUGUUGGCACUAUUAACGUUCUGUCAUCCGCUUCCCGCUUAUUUGCUAACAAUUGUAUACGUCAUGUGUUCGUUUGUGAUGUCCAUAACAAUUAUUUGUUUUUUAGGUUCUCCCUACCACAUCCUUCCACAAGCUCAAAAUAUUACCGAACAUUCUCCUCUCGUGUGAAAGUCAACACCGACAUUGGCGAAUUCACCCUGUGCAAAUUGGCAGGGAGUAAAAGCCAGAAGAAAAAAAAAAAAAAAAAAAAAAAAUUAAGUGUUGUAGGGUGUCCAUGAUUGUAGAUUAUCAAAUUUGUCCUUCCCAAAAAGUUAAAUAACAGAAAUAAAGCGAGAUUGUUUUACUUAAAUAUGAUGAUGAACGGUUCAUUAACAUUUACUGAUUGUGUAUGCUUAGUCCUGCUCACGUCUCAUGAAUCACCCUGUAUAUCCUAAUCCGAAAUGUAUGUAAGUAAUUUCUACAUGAAGUUAUUGCCUAUAAAUGUAGAAAGUAUGCGAAAUCGCCGUAGCUAAUCUAAGCAAGUUUGCUCGCAAUAUAAAAUUGGUAUAGUUGCACUACACCUAGAAAUUUGUAUAAACUAUAAGUCUGUAUCUUUAGGUAUUUUAAAGAAUGUAAACAAACCAGAAUUUGGUAUUUUAUUGGGCAAGGAAAUCUUCAAGUAAAUUAAUUCAAUGUGCCUAGAGAUGGGUAGGAGUGAGUAAAUACUGAGUAUUUAUCAGUAUUUACUGAGUAUUUACUCAAAGUACUCGAUAAAUACUCGUAUUUACUCAUUUAGGUGAGUAAAAACGAUUGCUAAUAAAAUAUUUAAAAAAGUAAGAUUUAAGAACUUGUUUUUUAUUGAACAGUGUUUUAUUAAGGCUUUUUUAAUGAAAACUCAAAAAUGGCUCAACCGGUCAUGUUCAAAGUAUUUUUUUGUUAGUACUCAUACUAUUUUUCGUUAAUCUAUCUACGGCUAAUCUCCGGAUAUUUUAUUGAACUUUGAUUUGAAAGUUAAAGAGGGAUAAACAUUUUUUCGGCCUUUAGAAACGGGUUUCUUCCAAAAGUAUUCAAUCUAUUUACUCACUACCCAUCUCUAGUUGUUCCAAAACUUACAGAGUUUUACUAUGAUAUAUUACUUACUCAACAUAACAACGAAGCUGAUGUAAUCGCGCUAUUUUGUUAAUAGAAAUAUAUCGGGAUGAUUUGAUUAAUCAAUAGUAAUUUAGUUUUGUAAUAUUUGCUAGUACUUCGCCCUAGUAAAGAACCUAAAACGAGAUUGAAUAAUUACCCUUAAUUAGCCGAGGAACAGAUCUAGGCAGUUUUCUUUGUUUUUUUUUUAAUGAUAUAUUCUGAUGGUAAGCGAUUACCGCCGCCCAUUGACACCUGCAAUACCAGAGGGGUUGUAAGUGCGUUGCCGGUCCUUAAGAUGGGAGUACGCUCUUUUCUGGAAGUUUUGAAGGUCGUAUCGGUCCGGAAAUACCGCAGGCGCCAGUUCAUUCCACAGUUUAGCUGAGCGAGGCAGGAAGUUUCUGGAGAAACGCACAGUUGAGGACUGCCAACCAUCUAAGUGGUGAGGAUGGAAAUGUUGUCGCGUAAGGCGAUGGCGAAAAGAAGCGGCAGGGAUUAAUCGAACAAUCCUCGGAGCACUCCCCGUUAUACAUGCGAUAGAAAAUGCAGAGCGAGGCCACAUCUCUACGCAGCGCCAAGGAGUCAAGCCGAUCCGAAACACGCUGGCAGUCCACAAUUCAAUUCGCUCUUAGUUGGAUGCAGUCCAGAGGUAGAAGCUGGUACUGGGGUGCCCCUGCCCAUAGAUGAGAACAGUAUUCCAUGUGCUAUUUGGUUGGUUACUUAACAAAAAAAAAGUUUCAAGUACUCGAAAAUAUAACAACACAUUGUUUAUAUUUAUUUAGCUACCUAAAGAUACAGACUUAAUAUCAGCCAUUGUAAAUUGUUUCUGAAUUCUAUAUCUGUCUUCUCGGUAUGUUAUUAAAAGAAUAUAAAUAAACAAAACCACUCUGUCAAAAUGUUAAUAAUAUUGCCUGAAUAUUUCGAGGUUUUGUUUACUUCUAAAAACCUACCUAAAUGAACAGGUGGUCGAGAUUAAGUAGAAUUUGUUUUUAUAAACAUUAAAUAUAAACCUAAGCUUUUGUUUAAUAUUGUAUUUUUGUUACCUGUAAAUAUAAUAGUCCACAUAGAAGCAGCUGCCUCGAGAGGAAAUUGUCACGCAAAGCGUAUCGGUCUGUGAAGAAGUAAGCCCUUUACCGACUUGAGCGGGCGCACGGUGCGGGUGAGCGAAUCAACGAAAAAUAGUAUAAGCAACGCUAACUGGCGACGGAUUUUACCUACCGCGCAAGUCGGCGAAGGGCCGUACCGUGCCUCGCUCGUGGGAAACUCACGCACGGAAAUUUCCUCGAUAUGCGUCUCAUCCUGUUGAAUUUACUUAAUCUCAUUCCCAGGCUCUUAACGCAAAACGCCUGUAUGAUAGCGAUGUUGCAAUUAUGAGGCCCAGUCUGAAUAUCCUUAUUGAUAGAUAUCAAAGUGAUAGUUUUACCAAUAACAUUUACUUUUUAUAUCCAAACAAUUUGGUUUGGCGAAAUUACUAAACUCAUAUAACAUGUUUUCCUUCUUUUGGUUCAGAAUUGCGUGGUUAAAAUCUUUCGGGUUCCUCGUACAGCACAGACGGGGUUUUUUGUUUGUUGUAUACGAACACAAGAUUAGUGAGGAAUAACAGUAAAAUAAAAAUCGAAAUGAUUCUAAGUAAAUGUUUAUUCAUUCAUCUAUUCUAAAUACAAAGCGGACGUGGUCCGCGAAUCGUCACAGAAAGUUGACAAAAUAUACUAAAAUCACUCGCAAAGUGACCAACGAAACGUAUACACAUACAAUUAAAUUUAAUAUCAAUACUAGACGAAGUAAAUGAGCAUAACAUUGAGCAAUACAUCUCUGUAUUGUCGUUAUUACAACGAAAACUGGAGGGAUCCAAGGAGUAAAGUAAUUUGUUUAAAGCUUAAUAGUUAAAUAUUGCCACGAAAUAACUUAGUUACAGCCACGGCCAAUAGCUGCUCCUGCUAAACCUAUCUUUAAACAUGUGGUACCUAUAGUAUACUACAGCAAUUUAAACUAAAUUUUCGUCCACCUGAUAAACAAAACUGCGCUGUCACCGACAAAAGUAAUACAGAAUAAACUACCUCGCGAGGAAUUGCCACGCGAAGCAUAUCAGUUGUUCAUUAAAACAAGUGUUCAGACGAUAUAUACAAAGAUCCAUAGCACACAAACAAUUGAAAUGAGUUAACAACGAUUACAGAUUUAAUGUGGUAACCAUUUCUUCACCGUAACGUUUACGUAAUUUAUUGUUAUUGAGCUUUUGCGACAUCUGUUUUUAUAUGUUGUACACAUUUCACUUUUAUUCACAAUUUAAUAACCACACAAUUUACUUGUGGAAAUUAUAAACGGUUUAGUUCAGAUAUCAUAAUGAUUAAAAUUAAAAUUCUGAGAGUAAUUACAAUGUCAGUGACACGCGUAAGAAACAAUAUAAUGUUCCUCUCAAUAUAGAUGCACUAUGAACAAAUAAAUAAUAGAGGAACGUAUAUUAGGUACCUUGAAACGCAACGUUACGAGUAUUUAAGAAGGCACGGACGAUACCCGCUGAGAACUAGGUCACAUGUGUAACCGGUGAAUAUUACAUAUUCUUGCUGUAGAAUUUAGUUGUUCCCUAAAUACAUAGCAUUGCCAGGAGCGAAAUCAUAACAGGUAUUUCUUCAAACAUUCGGUAAGGACCUUUAGCAACAAAAAAGUAAUUUGGUUGUAAUUACACAAAAACUGCUUAAUUAUAGUAUUUUGAGAGUUUUGCGUUUUGCAAUGCGUGUAUUUAGAACUGAAGGAAAGUUUUAUACAAUUCAUAUAUUUGAAUUUUUAAAGUGAAGUGUAAUAAAUAAUUUAUCCGUUAUCACUUCAUUGGAGAAUAUGAAAAUAUUUUGUAUUCUGAUUACAAUCAACCCUCAAAGGAGUUCAAUAAGUUAAAUGCAAUAUUAUGCUUAGAUCUAUAUUAGCAAAAAUACCCAAGGAAUAAAACUUUACAUCUAUAAGGAACAAUAACAUUAAAUGCUUUUUCUGGCCAUUGCUUGUAAUAAUCUUUAGAUAGCAACAUUUACGUCGAACAAGAAAUAUUGUUGGUGAUGUUGCUAGGUAGUAUGCAUAUGAUAUUUUGUGAAAUAUUUAAGGAAACAAUGGCCGAAAAGAAUAUAUUUCAAAAGUGCAUAAAAUAUUUCAUUAAAGUUAACAUUCUACAAUGAGCUGGCACUUGCGUCGAACGAUCAGAAAAAUAGAACAUUAUAUAUUAUUGUCAUGAUGUUCUCGGGUCGGAACAUCUAGCCGCGGGGCUUGAGACCAACUACUAGAGAUAACUUAUUCAUUAGGUACAACGGUAAUUUUAAUUAGAAUCAUUGUCAUAAAGUACCGUUAGUUGAUUGAAAAUACUUGUAACAUUGGUGCUGAAUUUCACAAGAAAUAAAUAUUAUUAUAUUAAUAUGAUGUAAUACAAUACAAUGCUGUAGUUUCAAGUAUCAAGUUGCGCGAUGUGACUUCUCGCGUCUUUUUCGCACAGUACGAACUGGAAAGGCGUAGGUCUUACUUGCGCGCAACUCGACUCAAGUAAAUUGAUAAGUAAAUAAAUUAGUACAGCAAAUAAUAUGGAUAAUAAUAUAUAAUAACACCAGGGAAUCCGCAGACAAUCGAAAACAGGUAUAUUUCAAGCCCUGCCUAGCUGCCGACGAACCAAACUCUUCUU
Cydia pomonella (codling moth) is the source of this 6225-nucleotide long non-coding RNA. RefSeq lists it as uncharacterized. NCBI's taxonomy places the organism in Eukaryota, Metazoa, Arthropoda, Insecta, Lepidoptera, Tortricidae. The transcript has 3 exons. The record is from RefSeq and is a predicted model, not a curated record.